UACGUAGGGGGCUAGCGUUGUCCGGAUUUACUGGGCGUAAAGGGCGUGCAGGCGGUUUGUUAAGUGCAGGGUGAAAGCUCCCGGCUCAACUGGGAGAGGUCCUUGCAUACUGGCGAACUCGAGGGAGGCAGAGGAAAGUGGAAUUCCCGGUGUAGUGGUGAUAUGCGUAGAUAUCGGGAGGAACACCUGUGGCGAAGGCGGCUUUCUGGGCCUUACCUGACGCUGAGACGCGAAAGCGUGGGGAGCGAACCGG
RNAcentral lists this ribosomal RNA (253 nucleotides) under uncultured bacterium. RNAcentral's name for it is "partial 16S ribosomal RNA". It matches the Rfam family "Bacterial small subunit ribosomal RNA", at positions 524 to 776 of the family's 1533-position model. The record is from RNAcentral.